This is an RNA transcript of Zea mays, 1942 nucleotides long. RefSeq lists it as uncharacterized. NCBI's taxonomy places the organism in Eukaryota, Viridiplantae, Streptophyta, Magnoliopsida, Poales, Poaceae. The transcript has 9 exons. The record is from RefSeq and is marked provisional.
CAUCGUUUGGGCCAGGAGCCCCGCACGAGCACCCAGCCCCAGCCCCAGCCCCGUUCUCGGCUUCUCGCGUCUUCUUCCCCCUUUCCGUUCCAAUUCCAACUGCAACUGGCCGCGCCCGCCGCCGCCGCGGUUCCCGUAGCUGGGGUUCAGACGCUCCGUCCUACUCCCGCGCCACGUCUCCUCUGGGCCACUUAACAAUCUCGGUAACGCACGACUUCCCCGCCAGUUUCAGUCCCGCCCCCGACAUCUUCCACCACCGGGUCCGGGGGGCCAUCUGCCGUGCUUGCCACCCCGCGGUCGCGAUCGAUGAUUCCUCGAGAGCAGCCGCCAGGUAUGUUCCGGCCGCCGAAUGCCUUUGGGGCGCCGCCCCCCUUUCUUCCUCAGCCUCCACCGUUGCAGUGGCAGUGGCAGCAACCGCCCCCGCCCCCGCCCUCGCCCUCGCCCUCGCCUGCGGUUACCUUCUGGCAGCGAGACAAUGUGCGGGAUCAUGUGAGGAAGCUGCAACAGACCAUCGAGUUAUCAACUGCGCUAAUAAAAGAGCUCGAGGAAAUUGCGGCGGCCGGAAAUCCUGGUGAUGGUGCCACAGAAACACGAAAAUCUGCUUCGUCCUCGGCGGAAUUGCCGUGGGGGUCCGGCGAUUCUUCAGAGGACAAGCGCCUCGGUUUCGUUGAGCUGGCUAGGUCCAUGGGGAUUAGUCAGGACACUCAUGAGUCGAUGGCAACAGAUGCAGCCAAUUACCUUUGCCACCAGCUUCAGCAUCUUCUUGGGCCUAUCUCUUCUGCGACGAGCCAAAGUGGCCCCUGGGAGGAGAGGUCGGCGAUGGUUAGGUUGACUCAGAAGCUGCAGAAAUCUAAGAGAAAUAAGCGGUGGCGGCAGAGGAGAAGGAAGCAUGUUGCGGAGCUUUUUCAGAAGGAGCGUGCGGAUUAUGAUAGAGUUGACCGGGAAGCUGAUGAAUGGAGGGCUAAGCAAAUAGCCAAGGACAUUGCAAAGCGGAGGGUGGAAAGCAUGCAGCAGAUUGCUAGAAAGAAAACAAAUGAGGAAAGAAAGCGCCUAGAAUCUGAGCUGGAGCUUGCCCUAAUGGUCGAGAAACUUCAGGAGCUUCGGUCUAUAAGAGUUCAAAAAAUGAAGAAACAAGGCCAUUUUCUUCCUGAAGAGGAUGAUAAAUACCUCGAGCGUGUUAAGGCUGCAGUUGAGGAAGAGGAGCGCCAAGCUGCAUCUGCUGCUCGGACUGAUGCUGUUAAGGAUGCUAUUCUGACUGCUGAGGAGUCAAGGAAGCCUCUACAGUAUACAAAUUCUCAGGAAGGUGGUUCUGAACAGCCUAAAAGUGGACCAUCUGAAGACGAGGACCAGGGAGAUGGUGGGAUGAGUGAGAGAAAUGACCAGGCAAGCCAAAAAACAGAACAUGAAGAUGAAGGUCAUAGAUUUGAGGGGAAAGGGCAUGGACAUCAUGACCCUGUCAGCAAUCUGCCUUUUGAGUUCUACCAUUAUUAUCAUGGAAGUGACUAUGACAUGGGGACACUCAUUGAGGUCCGCAGAAUGUGGGAUUCUUUCAUCAGACCUGGAGGAAGCCGUAUACCUGGGCACUGGGUUCCACCACCCCCUCCAGCUGAUGAGGUUUGGGCAUCUUAUUUGGUGCAGCACAAGUAAAUCACCAUGGGUAUGAGAAAUGGUCUUUUCUGCUUCAAAACCACCGGAAUCUUUAAUGGUUCCUGCAAGGAUGUGAUAUUUUACAUAAUAUAUGUCCAUUUGUGGCAUGUGUGAUGUCAACUCCUGAAUAUUAAAAUUUGAAUUUGAAAGCUCCAUAAUCCUGGCUUAUAAGUUGUGGAGAGGAAACACUAGCAAAGGCUCCUUUUUUUUAGUUGUGGAAACCUUUUUCUAUGUGAAGAACUGAAGAUUGCCAGCAAAAGGUUCAUUCCUGAUCAAGUUGAGUUGUCCAUUGUCA